AUAUCAUCCAACCCCCAAAUUCCCCUUUCAAUUAUCCCUUUCUUGCUUCUCUACUUUCCAUCUCUGUCCUCUUUCUGGGCUUUUAUCUCUUUUGAUAAUCUCUUUUCUUUUGUGUUUGAUGGGUUUCUUCUGAUUUGGUGGUUUAAUUUGUACUCUUUGCUGUUUGUUUGUGGAUUUUGGAUAGGAUGAUGAGUGAUUAUAAGGUGGAGCUGAUCAAUGAUGGGAUGCAAGAGUUCUAUGU
RNAcentral lists this long non-coding RNA (241 nucleotides) under Linum usitatissimum (flax). RNAcentral's name for it is "long non-coding RNA (LUSI_LNC000468)". Lineage: Eukaryota; Viridiplantae; Streptophyta; Magnoliopsida; Malpighiales; Linaceae. The record is from RNAcentral.